CCCACCUCUCCUGGAGGCCCCUGCUGGCCCUGUUACAGGAAAGACAGAAAAAGUUAACAGCCCCUCAAAACAACAGGCCGUAACUGGUGAAAGUAUGCUUCUUUGAGCCCUCGUGCCUCACACUGGCACUGUGAAAUUUUUAAGGACCAAGCAGGCGUGAGGAAACAAGGAGACAUGCUGUUGAGAAGCCCUGCAAGCCAAGUGCAAGGACAGCACAUGCUGGAGAUGCCACCUCCGUCCCCAGUGUCACACCGUCAGCCUGUUGGAGAUCACGUCUGCACAAGAUGGCAUGCACCACUAAGAUAGGAGGGCUGAGCUACGUACACCAACAGUGACUACUUGCUACACUGCAACACAUUUUAUCUGUUGCACUCUAAAGCAAAGCUGUAUUUCACUCCUUUUGUGUACAUCUUUCACCUAUUGUUUUUAACUGCUUGCACUUUGGUUCUGUAUAGAAUAUAAGCACUGGCUGACCUGUAUGUGAACAAAAUGCUUAAUAUCUUUUUCAUUUCAGUUAAAUUAUCUUAAUAAUAAUCACUGACAUAAGCUCUGUGGCUUAAUAAUGUCUUCCUCAUUUUAAGUAGCAAGGAACAAUAAAACUUUCUCUAUUUCUAUGACA
Long non-coding RNA from Chinchilla lanigera (long-tailed chinchilla), 619 nucleotides. RefSeq lists it as uncharacterized. The transcript has 2 exons. The record is from RefSeq and is a predicted model, not a curated record. Lineage: Eukaryota; Metazoa; Chordata; Mammalia; Rodentia; Chinchillidae.